This 466-nucleotide ribosomal RNA is filed under the name uncultured bacterium. Its description in RNAcentral is "partial 16S ribosomal RNA". It matches the Rfam family "Bacterial small subunit ribosomal RNA", at positions 28 to 507 of the family's 1533-position model. The record is from RNAcentral.
GAUGAACGCUGGCGGCGUGCUUAACACAUGCAAGUCGAACGGAAAGGCCGAAGCUUGCUUCGGUACUCGAGUGGCGAACGGGUGAGUAACACGUGGGUGAUCUGCCCUGUACUUCGGGAUAAGCUUGGGAAACUGGGUCUAAUACCGGAUAUGACAAUCUCUUGGAUGGGGUUGUGGAAAGCUUUUGCGGUAUGGGAUGAGCUCGCGGCCUAUCAGCUUGUUGGUGGGGUAAUGGCCUACCAAGGCGUCGACGGGUAGCCGGCCUGAGAGGGUGUACGGCCACAUUGGGACUGAGAUACGGCCCAGACUCCUACGGGAGGCAGCAGUGGGGAAUAUUGCACAAUGGGCGGAAGCCUGAUGCAGCGACGCCGCGUGGGGGAUGACGGCCUUCGGGUUGUAAACUCCUUUCGCAACCGACGAAGCUUUUGUGACGGUAGGUGGAGAAGAAGCACCGGCUAACUACGUG